RNAcentral lists this ribosomal RNA (460 nucleotides) under uncultured bacterium. RNAcentral describes it as "partial 16S ribosomal RNA". It matches the Rfam family "Bacterial small subunit ribosomal RNA", at positions 338 to 795 of the family's 1533-position model. The record is from RNAcentral.
CCUACGGGCGGCAGCAGUGAGGAAUAUUGGUCAAUGGACGAGAGUCUGAACCAGCCAAGUAGCGUGAAGGAUGACUGCCCUAUGGGUUGUAAACUUCUUUUAUAAAGGAAUAAAACGAGGCACGUGUGCCUGUUUGCAUGUACUUUAUGAAUAAGGAUCGGCUAACGCCGUGCCAGCAGCCGCGGUAAUACGGAGGAUCCGAGCGUUAUCCGGCUUUAUUGGGUUUAAAGGGAGCGUAGAUGGGUUGUUAAGUCAGUUGUGAAAGUUUGCGGCUCAAACGUAAAAUUGCAAUUGAUACUGGCAGUCUUGAGUACAGUUGGGGUAGGCGGAAUGCGUGGUGUAGCGGUGAAAUGCUUAGAUAUCACGAAGAACCCCGAUUGCGAAGGCAGCUUACUAAACUGUGACUGACAUUGAUGCUCGAAAGUGUGGGUAUCAAACAGGAUUAGAUACCCGAGUAGUC